AUGUUCACAUCAGCAGCACAUGUACUAAAAUUGGAACGACGAAGAGAAGACCAGUAUGGCUCCUAUGCAAGGAUGACAUGCAAAUUCGUUUGGUGUUCCAUAUUAAA
Cavia aperea (Brazilian guinea pig) is the source of this 107-nucleotide small nuclear RNA. Lineage: Eukaryota; Metazoa; Chordata; Mammalia; Rodentia; Caviidae. The record is from Ensembl.